RNAcentral lists this ribosomal RNA (483 nucleotides) under Veillonella parvula. RNAcentral describes it as "bacterial SSU rRNA". It matches the Rfam family "Bacterial small subunit ribosomal RNA", at positions 28 to 480 of the family's 1533-position model. The record is from RNAcentral. Lineage: Bacteria; Bacillati; Bacillota; Negativicutes; Veillonellales; Veillonellaceae.
GACGAACGCUGGCGGCGUGCUUAACACAUGCAAGUCGAACGAAGAGCGAUGGAAGCUUGCUUCUAUCAAUCUUAGUGGCGAACGGGUGAGUAACGCGUAAUCAACCUGCCCUUCAGAGGGGGACAACAGUUGGAAACGACUGCUAAUACCGCAUACGAUCUAACCUCGGCAUCGAGGAUAGAUGAAAGGUGGCCUCUACAUGUAAGCUAUCACUGAAGGAGGGGAUUGCGUCUGAUUAGCUAGUUGGAGGGGUAACGGCCCACCAAGGCGAUGAUCAGUAGCCGGUCUGAGAGGAUGAACGGCCACAUUGGGACUGAGACACGGCCCAGACUCCUACGGGAGGCAGCAGUGGGGAAUCUUCCGCAAUGGACGAAAGUCUGACGGAGCAACGCCGCGUGAGUGAUGACGGCCUUCGGGUUGUAAAGCUCUGUUAAUCGGGACGAAAGGCCUUCUUGCGAAUAGUGAGAAGGAUUGACGGUACCG